UUACUGGGCGUAAAGCGCAUGCAGGUGGUUUGUUAAGUUCAGAUGUGAAAGACCCGGGGCGUCAACCUCGGAAUUGCAUUUGAAACUGGCAACUAGAGUACUGUAGAGGGGGUAGGAAGUUUCAGGUGUAGCGGUGAAAUGCGUAGAGAUCUGAAGGAAUACCGGUGGCGAAGGCGGCCCCCUCGGACAGAUACUGACACUCAGAUGCGAAAGCGUGGGGAGCAAACAGGAUUAGAUACCCUGGUAG
Molecule: ribosomal RNA, 247 nt
Filed under: uncultured bacterium
Lineage: Bacteria
Description: partial 16S ribosomal RNA
Rfam family: Bacterial small subunit ribosomal RNA
Source: RNAcentral